Molecule: long non-coding RNA, 1556 nt
Organism: Psammomys obesus (fat sand rat)
Lineage: Eukaryota; Metazoa; Chordata; Mammalia; Rodentia; Muridae
Exons: 5
Source: RefSeq, a predicted model, not a curated record
GUCCACGCCUUUAAUCCCAGCGUUCAGGAGGCAGAGGCAGGCAGAUCUCAGAGUUCGAGGCCAGUCUGGUCUACAGAGUGAAUACCCAUACAAAAUGCCAGGCGGGCAUGCAUCUGUGGCCCCAGCACCAGGGAAGCAGAAACCCAUGGAUCCAUGGAGCUGGUUGGCCUUCCAGUCUAGCCUCAACAGCUGCCUCCGAGAUCAGUGGGCCAGGAGGGAAAUGUUCGUUGUAUGUUAAACAUCCCAUAAUUAAGAACAAAGAAGUAGGUAAAUAUUUACAUUGCUUCUUCAAUUCUAAGAUGAAUUCUCCCUCCCAGCCACCCACUUCCUGCUCAGCAAGGCAAAAACAAAGCAAAUGUAAACCCUAACAAUCUUUGUUUCCCCAGAAAAUUGUGCAAGAGAUACUACAGAUAGGAAAUCUGAACUUUUAGCAUGCUCAGGACUUACAAGCCCAACAAAGAUGGGCUCGGGCACAGGAGCCUACAGACCUGAAGAGCAUGUCAGAUUCCCCAGAACUGGAGUUACAUGCAGUUUUGAGCCGGCACCUGGUGUUAGAAACAGAAUGUGGUUCCUCCACAAAAGGAACACACAUGCUAGCAUGGGAAGGUAGCUGAGCUUAAAAGAGUGACGGCCUAAAGAGACGAGAGGAAAUCAUCUGGAAGGCAUUUCCUCCUCUGCUACUGAGCUGUGGGGCCAGAAAAAGCUACUGCCUGCGUCUGCAUGACUAGCCUCGUGUUCUGUGUGGAUGAGCAUCUGAACCUUAAGCCUUAUCAUCAGCCAGCUUAGGCGCCAAGGCCUUGGCUCCACGGGAAGCUCCCUACCAGGAUUCUAGGAAAGUGCACGCCUUUUCAGAAGGGCACAUUUAAGAGCAAGGAUCGCUCUAGUGCUCUGCACAUGUCUACACACGAGUCUACACGUGCUUGUGGUUUUAUCUAGUUUCCUUGGUACCAAACUGGCUUAGAAUUAAGUGCUAACGUAAGUUAAAAAUCUUAAAUUAAUCCAGAUUGUUUUUAGUUCACAGUGGAACUGGAAUUCAUUUUUUUUUUCAGAUUUAUUUUCAUAUGUAUGUGUUCCACGUGCAUGUAUGUGUUCCACAUGUGUGCCCGGUGCUCAGGGAGGUCAGAGGAGGACAUCCGAGCCCCUGGAACUGGAGUUACAGACAGUUUUAAGCCGCUUUGGCUGGCCUGGACUCACUCUGUAGACCAGGCUGGCCUCGAACUCACCGAGAUCCACCUGCCUCUGCCUCCCAAGGCGCUGGGAUUACAGGCCUGAGCCACUGGGCUCAGCUGGCACUGUAAUUCGAGGAGUGAAAAGAAAAAGCCGGCUCUAACAGUGUCAGCUAAGGCGGCAGGUCCCAUGCAGAAAUCAGUUAAAGGACGGGGCCUGAGAGAUGGCUCGGCUGUUGAGAGCCCUUGGAAGCUGCUCUUCCGAAGGAUUGGCAUUCAGUUCCCAGAACCUGCUCGCAACUGUGUGUAAGCCCAGUUCCAUGGCAGCCGGGUGCCUCUGGCCUGAGGAAACACGCGCACGCCCGCGUGGAGAAACGCAUGAACAUAAUU